GAUGAACGCUGGCGGCGUGCCUAAUACAUGCAAGUCGAGCGAACAGACGAGGAGCUUGCUCCUUUGACGUUAGCGGCGGACGGGUGAGUAACACGUAGGUAACCUACCUAUAAGACUGGGAUAACUUCGGGAAACCGGAGCUAAUACCGGAUAAUAUUUCGAACCGCAUGGUUCGAUAGUGAAAGAUGGCUUUGCUAUCACUUAUAGAUGGACCUGCGCCGUAUUAGCUAGUUGGUAAGGUAACGGCUUACCAAGGCAACGAUACGUAGCCGACCUGAGAGGGUGAUCGGCCACACUGGAACUGAGACACGGUCCAGACUCCUACGGGAGGCAGCAGUAGGGAAUCUUCCGCAAUGGGCGAAAGCCUGACGGAGCAACGCCGCGUGAGUGAUGAAGGUCUUCGGAUCGUAAAACUCUGUUAUUAGGGAAGAACAAACGUGUAAGUAACUGUGCACGUCUUGACGGUACCUAAUCAGAAAGCCACAGCUAACUACGUG
This 497-nucleotide ribosomal RNA is filed under the name uncultured bacterium. Its description in RNAcentral is "partial 16S ribosomal RNA". It matches the Rfam family "Bacterial small subunit ribosomal RNA", at positions 28 to 507 of the family's 1533-position model. The record is from RNAcentral.